GGGGGCUUGCAAUGGCUCCAACCGGAAGGGCGGUGCUCGAGCUGUGGUGCGUGCCGCUAAGUUGUGCGUUCCAGGGUGCACUCGCCGGCGAGGCUGCACGGCGCCGGUUUCAUUGCUAAAAUCCGACGGACUUGUUGCAGAACUCGUUUUUUUUGUCGGGAAAGGGCUUCCCCGUGUAACUUUACAGCAGUUAUCGUAGAUAAGACUUGCAAAUUACAGAUGUGGACGGUGAGGGAACGGGAAUUUCACUGAAAGCGCCUGAGAACCAGUAAGAGACCUGCAACAGCUUUGUGCUCCACUGGCGAAUGCUUCCUCCCCUAAUACACAUUAUGUGUGCUUGGAGACACAAGGAGUAAGAUACAGCCCCUCAAGGGACUCGUCAUAGGGAGAGGACACAGCUUUGGGAAUAAAGGGGCCACAAAGGAGGAGAGAGGAGUUUGCUGAAACUUCCCAAGCUCCCAUUCCAGCAGUUCCUGAAGGAUUCAUUUCUCUCUGAGGAUCUCAUGAGGUGGCUUAGCAGCUAGAAUCUCUUCCUUAACAGUGGGAAGAACAACUCCUGGAAAUUUAGGUCGACUUUGACUGGAUUUAAAAGAAAGCUGUACAAUUCCACUUCUGUAUAUACAACCAAAGGAAAUGAGAUGUGCAUACCCAUGUUCAAUGAAGCAUUAUUCACAAUAGCCAAAAUGUGGAACCAAUCCUUAAACAAAAGGAAAACAGAAAAUCUGCUCAAGGCACCUGAGAAAAUCACAACCCACACUUGCGAACCCCUAGGAGACCUAAAGCUGUGGUUUUACAAAUAAACAGAUAAGUAACAUUCCUACUCUUUCCUAUAGGUACUCAAUCUUCUUAACAACUCCCAUCCCACACAGGUUUGCAUCCCCAGCAGAUACAUAUGGCUAUGUGGUCACCCAUUCGAUCAGCCUAUAAAAGACUUGUCUUAUUUGAUAUUGUGAAACCCAUGGUUAUCAGUGUAUAUGAAAAUGUUUGGUUCAGGGGUCAAUGUACAAUAUGACAAGCAAAGUCCUCUAAUACACAGUUAUAUAAAAUCACUCACCUGAGAGCCAAGUGGACAAUUGGCCUUAUAUUGGCUGGAGUUGGAGCCCCAGAGGGAAAAUUUGCCUAUUAUUAGGCAACUCUUCAAAACUUUACUUAUUCGUUUCUAAACACUGUCUCAUAAAAUGGGGGAUGCUUUAGAUGAAUUAAGAUUAGCACUAGAUUACUUAUUCGUUGAAAAUUAGCACUAGAUUUCUUAUUGGUUGAACAAGGAGGAGUGUGCACCAUAAUCAAUAUAACCUGCUGCAGUUAUGUAAACACCUCAGGUCACAUAGAAGAAGAUAUACAGAAAAUACAUGAACAAGCUGUGUGGUUGCGUAAAUAUAACCAAGGCACCAAUCCCAACUGUAUCUGGUCAG
RNAcentral lists this long non-coding RNA (1412 nucleotides) under Homo sapiens (human). RNAcentral describes it as "HSALNT0321083". Lineage: Eukaryota; Metazoa; Chordata; Mammalia; Primates; Hominidae. The record is from RNAcentral.